This 1325-nucleotide long non-coding RNA is filed under the name Brassica napus (rape). RNAcentral's name for it is "long non-coding RNA (BNAP_LNC023815)". Lineage: Eukaryota; Viridiplantae; Streptophyta; Magnoliopsida; Brassicales; Brassicaceae. The record is from RNAcentral.
AAGUUUCUGUAGGUUUUUAAUUUAUUUAUGGUUCCUCUUUGUUUUGUUUAGUAGAUGGCGAAAAAGGGCUUUGUUGAAGGGGUCGAUUGAGUCCAGACUCGCAUGUGAACCGGUCUGUCUUCAAAUACUUUUGUCUAAAGUAAUUGACAUAUAGAUAAAUUGGGUACUAGAUAGGUAGCUUUUGUAAUGAUUUGCUUCUUUUAGUUGUCUGAGGGUUCCACUAGAGAUUCUUAAUGAAAACCAAACACGAGGUAGUGAGUCUGCGUCAGGAUGGUCGUUGGCAAUGUUGGUCUUGAGUCAUGUCAUGUCAUCUUCAACAUCUGUACGAGAAAUUCAUUUUAUCUAAAUUAAUUAACUACGAUGCAAAAUGAUAAAAGAGCAAAUAGUUUUGUAGGAGAACUAACAAAAGAUUGUAAACAAAUGUUAACCAAGUUUACAGAAGAUUGUAUCUUUUCUGUUUAAAUUUUUUUCUUUAGCAAUUACUUUAUGAUUGUGUAAUUUGAAAAGUGGAACUCUAUUAUUUUAUGUCGUGUAAUAACUGAAAGAUUCUGUGGUCUGGUAGAGUGACCAAGACUGGUCGAAUUAAAAUGAUAGUAAGAUGAAUGAAAACUAUGCAGCAUCAAUAUCAAAAUUGCUUUAUGGAAGCAAAGAAGAGAGUAACAAAGGAAACCUUUACUUUUAAUGGGUUGAAGAAUAGGUUCUAAAUCUAAACUCUCUUCUCCUAUAAUCUCCAGCAAAUAGCAAAAGAGUGAUCUCUUUGCUUUCGAUGAUAUCUUUCGUGUAAUCUCAUGCGUUGUAGAGAUCGAGAGCACGUUAAUCUUCUUUGAAUGCACGCAAAAAGUAGAUAUCUGUCUUCAUCCUCCGAGUGACUUCUGCUUGUAACCGUUCUUGAUCCUAUCGUAAAGUUUCUCCUUAGUUUUACGUUUCUUGUCCAUUUUCAAUCGGUAUCUUUCCUCACGUUCCCUCUCGUAAACGCCUUUCCAAUGCACUUCUCCGGUUAGUGGCCAUAGCCAUCUCUCCCUUGGAUGGUCGUUAUCAUCUGCUGCUUCUGCCCGCAUGUGAACCGGUCUGUCUUCAAAUACUUUUGUCUAAAGUAAUGACAUAUAGAUAAAUUGGGUACUAGAUAGGUAGCUUUUGUAAUGAUUUGCUUCUUUUAUUUGUCUGAGGGCUCCACUAGAAAUUCUUAAUGAAAACCAAACACGAGGUAGUGAGUCUGCGUCAGGAUGGUCGUUGGCAAUGUUGGUCUUGAGUCAUGUCAUGUCAUCUUCAACAUCUGUACGAGAAAUUCAUUUUAUCUAAAUUAAUUAACUAAGAUGCAAAAUGAU